AUAACUGUGUCAGAUUAUAUGAGUUAGCUUUAAGCGCUAAUUAUGAGGCUAUUACCUUCGGUUAUU
This 66-nucleotide transfer RNA is filed under the name Cephalochlamys namaquensis. RNAcentral's name for it is "tRNA-Leu". Lineage: Eukaryota; Metazoa; Platyhelminthes; Cestoda; Pseudophyllidea; Cephalochlamydidae. The record is from RNAcentral.